Molecule: long non-coding RNA, 3727 nt
Organism: Cyprinus carpio carpio
Lineage: Eukaryota; Metazoa; Chordata; Actinopteri; Cypriniformes; Cyprinidae
Source: Ensembl
CACACACACACACACACACUCUAACACUCUCUCUCUCUCUCUCUCUCUGUCUCUCUCUCUGACACACACACAUGAGAAGGAAUCAGGAUCAAGUGGAACGAGAGUCACAGUCUAGUCAGUCAUAUGAACACAGGACUGGUUUAGUCACCAUGAGAAACCUUAUUCUAACCUGGACAUUUCUCUUUAUUUUACAUCUGACCAAAGAGGACACUUCAGUGCAAAAGCUGAGUGCCCCAGAAAAGCAUUUUCUUGUGCUGAUGUGUUCUGACGCUUCAUAUGUUAACUGGAGCCAUGGGCUGGAAAGGAUGAUCGCCUCUAGACAAAGAAAGCAGGUGUCUUACCUGGACCAAAGCAAACACCAGCUGCUUGAAGAUGGCCAGCUCUCCAUUAAAGACCUGCAGGAAUCAGACGCAGGAGAAUAUUACUGCAACCAUCAGCUAGUGGCAGAUAUCACUGUGCUCAAAGGUCAUAACUUUACAGUUCCUGAGGGCACAACUGUUUAUCUUCCAUGUAAGACAUCUAAUAAAAUGAAGCAGAGAUGGGCAUUCAAACGCACUCCUCAGUCCAGAAAAGAGUUCAUCUCCACGCUUUAUAAAAACAGCACCAUAAAGAAAGAGAGAGCUGAUCCAACAUUAAGAUUCACUCACACCACAGAUGACCUGAUUAUCUCAGAUCUCCAGCUGCAGGACUCUGGGCUUUAUCUGUGCAACAACAGAGAGAUGGCUUUCCUUACGGUGACCACAGAAUCGACUGAAAUUGAAAACAGCAGUCCAGAUAUAAAUAAAUACGGGCCGACAUACAUUGCAUCAGGUCUACAAUUACAAAGGAUGUCAAAUGAAGGCCCCUGGAUGUUGGACACUCAUGAGGAUGCAGGGGAAAUCCAGUACGCGUCUCUGGGUGGGCAGCACUGGAAGCAGACAGACAGACAGCUGAGCAGCAGACAGCAUGUCAUUUACUCCACACUGACCACGUCAUGAAAACAACACACUCAUUUACACUGGAUAUGUACAGUCCAUAUGAGUCAUGUUCACUGAUAUGUAAACAUAAACCAAAUACACAUAAAACACCUUACAUAGAACUGAAAUCACUGUCUUAGCUUUAUUGUCAUCCUACAAAAGCUAGCUUAUAUAGAAACAAACAAAUGAAAAAGAAACCAUAGACUAUAGCAGGCAUAAUAUAGUAACAUAGCACAUGUAAUAUACACUACCAUUUAAUAUAUAUAACAACGAUACUAUAAACUGGUGACAGUAAAUACUUUUAUAAAAUCUUACAAAGAAGUCUAUUUUAAUAAAUGCUGUUUCCUUGAAAUUUUUAUAUAAAGAAUCCUGAAAACAAUAAAUUAUGAUCCUAAAAAAAUUUUUUAAAAAUAUAUUUGAAAAGAAAACAGUUAUUUUAAAUUGCAAAAAUAUUUCACAUUAUUUCCUGUAUUUAAAGGGGUCAUCGGAUGCCCAUUUUCCACAAGUUGAUAUGAUUCUUUAGGGUCUUAAGAAACGUCUAUAUCAUACUUUGGUUAAAGUUUCUCAGUGGUAGUGUAAAACAACACCUUUUUAUCCUGUCAAAAACAGCUCUGUUCACAGCAAGCCGUUUGGGUGCAUGUCCCUUUAAAUGCUAAUGAGCUGACUCCGCCCCUCUCUUCAGAGGACUGACGAGCAGUUCUUGCUAACGAGCACAUGAUUAGGAAAGGCCAAAGAUUGAUUAAAGAAGCUUCCACUCACUUCUUCUGGAGGUGACGCUGGAUCACGAAUGAUCGCGUGAACAUAGACACAUUUAUGAAGAUCAGGACACAUUCUCUUCAGAAACAAAUGUAAUCCACUGCGUCUUCAGCGCUCAGAUGUUAGCAGUAAAUGAUGACUGCUGUGUUCAUCAUUACAUCAACAACACAACACGAGUCAUUCUUUCAUUCUGUGUCUUCCUCUGCACGGGAGUUGACACAAUGGUGGACAGAUCACAGCUCACUCAGGGCGGGUCUAAGGUAAGACAGCCUUGUCAAUCAACUAUCGUGGGAGGGGCCUGUGCAGAACUACAUCAUUCUGACAGGAAUCUCAGAGCAGGCUGAUUUGAGAAAGGGGAUUUUUAAAAAAAAACACUGGGUGGAUGUUUAUCAUUAUAGGUUAGAUGUGUACACACACUUCCAACACACAUUUAUGUUUAAACAACAUGUAAAGUGAAUUUUGUAUUCGAUGACCCCUUUAAACCAACUAAAUGUAGCCUUGGUGAACAAAACAGACUUCUUUCAAAACCAUUAAAAAUCAUUCCAACCCCAAACUUUUGAAUGGUAUUGUAUAAAUAAUGUUUUUUUCCACAGGCUUGGAAUAAGUACAGAGUAUAGAUGUUGGUAUAGUAGACUUCUUAAACUGUCUCUGUUAGUAUGAAGCUGAUUAAAUGCAGUGAAAUCAGGACGUGUGGUUGGUUAUAGCUGCGUAUGUCACGUUGACUGGAGCGGGAGGCGCGGCUCUGGACCGUCUGAGGAACUGGAGACUGGCGUACUGUACUUGUGCUGCCUGGAAAACAACAGCAUCUCCCUGCAUUAAUGAAUCAAUAUUAAUAUCACUCUCAGAGCACACAAACUACACAAACUACAGACAAACAGGAGAACAAAGGUUCCUUUCGUAGUUAGGCCACUUCUUUGUGGUAUUCUUAUACCUGUUUUUACAUUGAUCCUGCAUCAUAUUCUGAGUUUGUAGUUUUCUAAUGCCGAUGUCUUACAUUUUUUUUGUGCUUAUAGAAUUUUAGUUAUCCCAUUCUUAUGCUACUUUUUUGCAUAUAUGCCAUUUUUUUAAAGAAUCCAAGUCCAUCCCACCUUGAUAUUUGAGUUUUCUGACACGCAGCUGGUGCAGGAGACCCUGGAAGAACCUAAAAGAAAAACACAUGUAAAAUGAUGCACAGCACUGUGUGGUGUAACCUGCAUUUCAAUCAGGUUUUUUGGGGUUCAUGCUGUUUUAUAGGGGUCAUGAACUGUGAAAUCAACAUUUCUUUGAUAUUUUGACAUAUAAGAGGUUGCUGUACUAUAAAAAACAUCCCGCAAGUUUCAUAACUCAAAACUUUCUUGUUAGUCUAAAAACAGCUUAUAUUGAAGGCAGUCUGCCAAAGCAAAAGCUUGUGGAAUGUUCUACUCUGUGAUGUAAUAGUGUGGAUAAGCACCGCCUCCCCAGAAGAGUCACUACAUCACUGCCUGUUUAGCCCCACCCACUGAUUAUACAGGGCUGCCUGUUUAGCCCCGCCCACUGAUUAUACAGGGCUGCCUGUUUAGCCCCACCCACUGAUUCGCGCACAUAGUGUAAAUAAUGCUAACAAUAAACAAACUGUGGAAAAACAGUGUUUGCGUCACCUUCCUUCUGAUCCCAAUGUUAGAAUUAACUUUAUUUUUAAUGAAGAUCCAGAACAUGUCAGUAAAACCUUGGUUCUUUGUUCACUGCAUUUUACUCCGGAUUCAUGAACAAACAAGGCACAAUUCGAUGCAGGAUUUUCAGAAAGAUUGAAUCUGAUAGAUGAUGCUGUGUGACUAUAUUGGAUAUAACAGUAAUGUUGCAACACAUGCGUCAGAAACUGUUUUAAGUAUGUGAUCACUAUUGCUUUGUCUGUUAUUACAAAUAAUUUGAUAUGAUUAUUUAUGCAUUUUUGACCUAAAUCACAGCAGCCUCCAUCUGUGAAGGAUGUAGGCUGUCAAUCAUACACAACUAUUAGCCAAUCACAGCAGUGGCAUUUACUUCAGAGUCUACAAUCCUCC